UGAGGAAUAUUGGUCAAUGGGCGCAAGCCUGAACCAGCCAUGCCGCGUGCAGGAUGAAGCAUCUAUGGUGUGUAAACUGCUUUUGUACGGGAAGAAAUCACCCCUCGUGAGGGGUAUUGACGGUACCGUAAGAAUAAGGAUCGGCUAACUCCGUGCCAGCAGCCGCGGUAAUACGGAGGAUCCAAGCGUUAUCCGGAAUCAUUGGGUUUAAAGGGUCCGUAGGCGGGUCUGUAAGUCAGUGGUGAAAUCUCCCCGCUCAACGGGGAAACUGCCAUUGAUACUGCAGGUCUUGAAUUAUUGGGAAGUAACUAGAAUAUGUAGUGUAGCGGUGAAAUGCUUAGAGAUUACAUGGAAUACCAGUGGCGAAGGCGCUGACCUGGACGAAGAUUGACGCUGAGGUGCGAAAGCGCGGGGAGCAAACA
RNAcentral lists this ribosomal RNA (422 nucleotides) under uncultured bacterium. Its description in RNAcentral is "bacterial SSU rRNA". It matches the Rfam family "Bacterial small subunit ribosomal RNA", at positions 355 to 774 of the family's 1533-position model. The record is from RNAcentral.